Long non-coding RNA from Pezoporus occidentalis (night parrot), 1932 nucleotides. RefSeq lists it as uncharacterized. The record is from RefSeq and is a predicted model, not a curated record. The transcript is spliced from 4 exons. NCBI's taxonomy places the organism in Eukaryota, Metazoa, Chordata, Aves, Psittaciformes, Psittacidae.
ACAUUUAAUUGUAGACCUAGACAUAUAAAAAGUCUGCCUAAUUACAGCUUGUAGCCAGUAAAAUCAGCAAUCCAACCUCUAUUUCUAGCUAAACCUUGCUAAUUUUUUUAAGACAUUGCUACUGAGGAAAUUGGUGCAGAAGAAAUUCUGACUCAGACAAGUGAGAUGGGGAAAGCAAAGGUAUAGUAUAGAUUUUUAUUUCUUUUAAUAGAUUAGACAAUAAAGACUAACUGUUCAAGGUAUUUUCCUUGGAUCCAGAAGUGGAAUUACAUCAUUCUCUGAACGUUUGCUAGGGGAGAAGCUGGGCCAUGUUGAUGACACCAAAACAAUUUGAAAAAACUCUAUUUUUUCUUUGUACCUCCAAAGGUGUUUUGUAGUCACCAAAAGUCUCAGUUUUAGACCAUUGCUCCUUUUCUGAAGUAUAUUGACAGUUCAUAGUAUAAGUUGUCUUAGAUGAAAAUAUCAUUUCUAGCAUUGUUUGAAAUAGCAUUAUUUAUGAAUUAAGUAUUUAAACAUUUCUCACCUUGCCAAAUACAUUGUUGAGGAGUCAAAAGGUAGAAAUAUAGAGCCUAACCAGGAAGAUCAAGACCAAUUGUUUGACAGAAUUGGAGGUUUUGUGGCACAUUUUUCUUCUUGUUCCCAGGGAUGCUGAAGAUAUUUUUUUUCAGGUGUAAACUCAAGGAAAGGUGUAUGGAAGCAAUGGAAUGUUGAAAGCUUGAAGGCUGCCACAGUAAAUUAUACUAGUAAAGAUGCUACUGUUAAAAUGCAAGCUAGUGCACCUGCCAGUUCUACAGCAACCUUAGACUCUUGAGGCAAAAUUACUGUCAGGACAGCAAACACCUCUGUACUCUCUAAGUACUCUUCUAAAAUAAUGAAAUGGUUCACAUGUUUUUGGCUUUCAAUGCUUACAUGUCUCUGGUAAUAGAAAAACCUUCCUUUAUCUCUUCUGUUUGGACAAGAAGUCCAGUUAACCAUCUCUAUAUAAUAAAAGAUAGCAUUGUAUUUCCAAGAAUUACACCUAUAUUGGAAUCUCCUUGCUACAUCACAGCCUGUAUAUUAGCUCCACAUAAGUAAAAUCUGAACUAAUGGAACAUGCCAAAGAGCAUACAAUUAAAAAGGACUGAAUUCUUAAGCCAUACUUUGUCACAGUUAAAAGAAACAAAACCAAAGUGCACACAACUGAUUAGUUUAUAUCUGAGCUAGGGCAGGAGUGCCCUGAAAGAAGCAAACUGAAGCCCUCAAAGUAAACUUUCCAGUGUUGCACAGGACUGGGUUAUAUGGUCUCACCCUCUGUGGUAUUCAAAGGAGCCAAAAAAGCAGGGUGUAGGGAACUAAUGCCAGAUUCUUAAAAGCAUGUCAAUCCUUAAACCUAUUGUAGUGUAUGGAAAUUAGGUACUUAAUCCAUCUGAAAAUGUGAGUCAAAGAAUGGUUUGGGUUGGAAGGGACCUUAGGGAUCAUCUAAUUCCAACUCCCUGCCAUGGGCACCUGGGGGUUGAAACAUUGGUUUCACUAGAUCAGGUUGCUCCAAGCCCUGUCCAGCCUGGCCUUGAAUACUGCCAGGGAUGGGGUAGCCACAGCUUCUCUGGGCAAUAAAUAUACUUUCCUAAUCCAGUAAACUUUAAAGGCUUGGUUUCUCCCCCUUAAAUUUAUUUCUGAAUUAGGGGGUAUAGGUACCCUCAAAUCCAUCUUCUGUCAGUGAAAAGGGUAGACUAGGGAACCAUUUAUCCCUCAUGAGACCUAGAUUGCUCUGGUGAUUAGAGAGGAACCUAAAAGCUCUGGUGUAAUGAAAGUAGCUGGCUGACACACUGAGGUAAGAGCAGUUGUUCUAGGGCAUGGCUAAGUAUUGUUUCCUCUCUGAGUGGAUCCGUGUGAUACCCAGUGGAGGUGCUCUGCUUGUUUAAAAUGAUGUAGUGCUAUUUGGACUCGUGGAGA